UCUCCGCUAACGUCUGCUGCUCGUUGAUGCCCACGUUAAAAAGCACCGGGAACACUCGCAGAAGUUUGCCCUCCUUGAUUUCCUCCGGCAUGUUCCGGAAGGCCGGGCCCGGCAGCGGGACCUCCACCGUCAAGUGGUCCCUGGAAGGAGCAGAGGAUCAGCUGCCUGACUGAAAACCACGUCCCUCCUCUGCUGCAGAAGGAAGCCCUGUGGAAUGCUGCAGGCCGCCUCCUGCAGGAGAACAAAAGUCACGGCCCUCUUGGCUUUGUCCACCACCUCCGUCACGCACUCCUUCAACCGGGCCACCAGGGGGCACAGCUGCUCCCGCCAGUCACCUGUGCCACGACAAAAACAGGAGUCUCACGAUGACGUCGGGGCUACUUGCGCCAAUAUUUCAAAAAAUUCCCACAGAAAUAAAAAUUUGGCCUUUUGA
Nerophis ophidion (straightnose pipefish) is the source of this 433-nucleotide long non-coding RNA. RefSeq lists it as uncharacterized. The transcript has 2 exons. NCBI's taxonomy places the organism in Eukaryota, Metazoa, Chordata, Actinopteri, Syngnathiformes, Syngnathidae. The record is from RefSeq and is a predicted model, not a curated record.